GCUCGAUGUUAAUAUUCUUAA
Molecule: microRNA, 21 nt
Filed under: Ananas comosus (pineapple)
Lineage: Eukaryota; Viridiplantae; Streptophyta; Magnoliopsida; Poales; Bromeliaceae
Description: microRNA s0718_c93a
Source: RNAcentral